RNAcentral lists this transfer RNA (24 nucleotides) under Ptilinopus magnificus. Its description in RNAcentral is "partial tRNA-Arg". The record is from RNAcentral. RNAcentral also lists the same sequence under 1 other name. Lineage: Eukaryota; Metazoa; Chordata; Aves; Columbiformes; Columbidae.
UAGAAAGUUAGUCUAACCAAGAUA